UACGGGGGGGGCAAGCGUUGUUCGGAAUUACUGGGCGUAAAGGGCUCGUAGGUGGCCAACUAAGUCGGACGUGAAAUCCCUCGGCUUAACCGGGGAACUGCGUCUGAUACUGGAUGGCUUGAGUUCGGGAGAGGGAUGCGGAAUUCCAGGUGUAGCGGUGAAAUGCGCAGAUAUCAGGAAGAACACCCGUGGCGAAGGCGGUUCUCUGGGACGGUACUGACGCUGAGACGCGAAAGCGUGGGGAGCGAACAGG
RNAcentral lists this ribosomal RNA (253 nucleotides) under uncultured bacterium. Its description in RNAcentral is "partial 16S ribosomal RNA". It matches the Rfam family "Bacterial small subunit ribosomal RNA", at positions 524 to 776 of the family's 1533-position model. The record is from RNAcentral.